RNAcentral lists this ribosomal RNA (1522 nucleotides) under metagenome. RNAcentral's name for it is "bacterial SSU rRNA". It matches the Rfam family "Bacterial small subunit ribosomal RNA". The record is from RNAcentral.
AGAGUUUGAUCAUGGCUCAGAUUGAACGCUGGCGGCAGGCCUAACACAUGCAAGUCGAACGGUAACAGGAAGAAGCUUGCUUCUUUGCUGACGAGUGGCGGACGGGUGAGUAAUGUCUGGGAAACUGCCUGAUGGAGGGGGAUAACUACUGGAAACGGUAGCUAAUACCGCAUAACGUCGCAAGACCAAAGAGGGGGACCUUCGGGCCUCUUGCCAUCGGAUGUGCCCAGAUGGGAUUAGCUAGUAGGUGGGGUAACGGCUCACCUAGGCGACGAUCCCUAGCUGGUCUGAGAGGAUGACCAGCCACACUGGAACUGAGACACGGUCCAGACUCCUACGGGAGGCAGCAGUGGGGAAUAUUGCACAAUGGGCGCAAGCCUGAUGCAGCCAUGCCGCGUGUAUGAAGAAGGCCUUCGGGUUGUAAAGUACUUUCAGCGGGGAGGAAGGGAGUAAAGUUAAUACCUUUGCUCAUUGACGUUACCCGCAGAAGAAGCACCGGCUAACUCCGUGCCAGCAGCCGCGGUAAUACGGAGGGUGCAAGCGUUAAUCGGAAUUACUGGGCGUAAAGCGCACGCAGGCGGUUUGUUAAGUCAGAUGUGAAAUCCCCGGGCUCAACCUGGGAACUGCAUCUGAUACUGGCAAGCUUGAGUCUCGUAGAGGGGGGUAGAAUUCCAGGUGUAGCGGUGAAAUGCGUAGAGAUCUGGAGGAAUACCGGUGGCGAAGGCGGCCCCCUGGACGAAGACUGACGCUCAGGUGCGAAAGCGUGGGGAGCAAGCAGGAUUAGAUACCCUGGUAGUCCACGCCGUAAACGAUGUCGACUUGGAGGUUGUGCCCUUGAGGCGUGGCUUCCGGAGCUAACGCGUUAAGUCGACCGCCAGGGGAGUACGGCCGCAAGGUUAAAACUCAAAUGAAUUGACGGGGGCCCGCACAAGCGGUGGAGCAUGUGGUUUAAUUCGAUGCAACGCGAAGAACCUUACCUGGUCUUGACAUCCACGGAAGUUUUCAGAGAUGAGAAUGUGCCUUCGGGAACCGUGAGACAGGUGCUGCAUGGCUGUCGUCAGCUCGUGUUGUGAAAUGUUGGGUUAAGUCCCGCAACGAGCGCAACCCUUAUCCUUUGUUGCCAGCGGUCCGGCCGGGAACUCAAAGGAGACUGCCAGUGAUAAACUGGAGGAAGGUGGGGAUGACGUCAAGUCAUCAUGGCCCUUACGACCAGGGCUACACACGUGCUACAAUGGCGCAUACAAAGAGAAGCGACCUCGCGAGAGCAAGCGGACCUCAUAAAGUGCGUCGUAGUCCGGAUUGGAGUCUGCAACUCGACUCCAUGAAGUCGGAAUCGCUAGUAAUCGUGGAUCAGAAUGCCACGGUGAAUACGUUCCCGGGCCUUGUACACACCGCCCGUCACACCAUGGGAGUGGGUUGCAAAAGAAGUAGGUAGCUUAACCUUCGGGAGGGCGCUUACCACUUUGUGAUUCAUGACUGGGAUGAAGUCGUAACAAGGUAACCGUAGGGGAACCUGCGGUUG